Molecule: ribosomal RNA, 467 nt
Filed under: uncultured bacterium
Lineage: Bacteria
Description: bacterial SSU rRNA
Rfam family: Bacterial small subunit ribosomal RNA
Source: RNAcentral
AAUCAACGCUGGCGGCGUGCCUCAGACAUGCAAGUCGAACGAUUAAGACUUCCUUCGGGAAGUGCAUAAAGUGGCGCACGGGUGAGUAACACGUAAGUAAUCUACCCUCGAGUGGGGAAUAACGUUCGGAAACGGACGCUAAUACCGCAUAACGCAGCGGCACCGCAAGGUGACAGUUGUUAAAGGAGCAAUCCGCUUGAGGAGGAGCUUGCGGCAGAUUAGCUAGUUGGUAAGGUAAUGGCUUACCAAGGCUACGAUCUGUAACCGGUCUUAGAGGACGGUCGGUCACACUGACACUGAAUAACGGGUCAGACUCCUACGGGAGGCAGCAGUCGGGAAUUUUGGGCAAUGGGCGAAAGCCUGACCCAGCAACGCCGCGUGAAGGAUGAAGUAUUUCGGUAUGUAAACUUCGAAAGAAUAGGAAGAAUUAAUGACGGUACUAUUUAUAAGGUCCGGCUAACUACGUG